AGACAGAGGAUGCAAGCGUUAUCCGGAAUGAUUGGGCGUAAAGCGUCUGUAGGUGGCUUUUUAAGUUCGCUGUCGAAUACCAGGGCUCAACCCUGGACAGGUGGUGAAAACUACUAAGCUAGAGUACGGUAGGGGCAGAGGGAAUUUCCGGUGGAGCGAUGAAAUGCGUAGAGAUCGGAAGGAACACCAACGGCGAAAGCACUCUGCUGGGCCGACACUGACACUGAGAGACGAAAGCUAGGGGAGCGAAUGGGAUUAGAGACCCCAGUAGUCCUAGCCGUAAACGAUGGAUACUAAGUGGCUGUGCGUAUCGACCCGUGCAACGCUGUAGCUAACGCGUUAAGUAUCCCGCCUGGGGAGUACGUUCGCAAGAAUGAA
Molecule: ribosomal RNA, 378 nt
Filed under: uncultured bacterium
Lineage: Bacteria
Description: bacterial SSU rRNA
Rfam family: Bacterial small subunit ribosomal RNA
Source: RNAcentral